RNAcentral lists this ribosomal RNA (253 nucleotides) under uncultured bacterium. Its description in RNAcentral is "partial 16S ribosomal RNA". It matches the Rfam family "Bacterial small subunit ribosomal RNA", at positions 524 to 776 of the family's 1533-position model. The record is from RNAcentral.
UACGUAGGGGGCAAGCGUUGUCCGGAUUUAUUGGGCGUAAAGAGCGUGUAGGCGGCUUUACAGGUCCGUUGUGAAAACUCGAGGCUCAACCUCGAGACGCCGGUGGAAACCGUAAGGCUAGAGUCCGGAAGAGGAGAGUGGAAUUCCUGGUGUAGCGGUGAGAUGCGCAGAUAUCAGGAGGAACACCCGUGGCGAAAGCGGCUCUCUGGGACGGUACUGACGCUGAGACGCGAAAGCGUGGGGAGCAAACAGG